CUUCCUCUUUUCUUCUCUUCUGUAAUCUAUUCUUCUCUUCUGUAUCUCUUCUUCCUCUUUUCUUCUCUUCCCUAAUCUAUUUUUCCUCUAAAUCAAGGAUUUUUACACUUUUCUGCCGUAAGCUCUGCAUGGCGAGUGAAGAUGUUUCUGAUACUCCAGACUGGCGUGAGUUCCAACAAUGGGGAGAAAAUCGACGAGUUCCACAACAACAAGUACCACAGCAACAAGUACCAAACAAUUCUCCUGAGACCCAAAGAUCAACAGCUUUAUAUCAACUUACAAUCAAUGAGUUGCUCCAGACUCUAGGCCGAGAAAACAUGACCGAACUCUAUCCAGGACGACCUGGCAAAACAACAUGGUAAUACCUUCCUAUUUAAAUCCUUCGUAAUAUUGUUUUUAUCCAAAUUUAUGAGUUUUGAAAUUUUAAUAUAUGGUUCGGUUCAUGUGAAGGUUUAAGUAUAAUACUCGGAUAACAAAGUCAGUGUUGCUUAUGAUGAAAUCUGAUUUAAAGAUCUUCUGAUCCUAAAUAUAGAAGAUUACCAGAAGAAAUUAAACUUAGGUGGUUCAAAUCAUUGCUCAAGAAUUCAACUGGAAUCCCACAUAUACAGUCAUUGUGGAAAAAAGUUCCAUAAAGUAGCAAGAUCUGUGUUCAAAAACCAAAUGUACCUUUGAAAAAAAGAUUGGGAAGCAGGGAAUGAAAAGCCGGUGCGGAUAACAUCUCGUGAAGUUUGGAAUGAAUACAUCAAUCACUGGCAGAACCCUAAGACAAAGAAAGCUUCUGCUAAAAACAAAGCUAACCGGAACAGCCACCAUGGAGGAGAUGGCCCAGCUGCACACACCACAGGUUCUAAGUCUUAUGUUAGGCGUUAUGAUGAAAUGACAGAAGAAGCUGGAGAGCCUCCAAGCAUCGUGAGUUUUAUGAUUGAAACACACAAAAGCAAAAAAACAAAGGCUUUUGUGGAUAAAAGGGCUGAGAGAAUUGUGGAGACCUUGUUAGUAACAAUUGUUAACCAAGUUUUGACUCAAUUAUUUUGAUUUAUUUGUCAAACAAUUUGACCACUUUAAUGGUCAAAAUUUUCGACCAAAUUUUUCGUCAUAAAUUUAGACUGAUAUAUUUGGUCGAUACUAUCGAUUUAUGAAAUUCGUCAGAAAUAUUCGACCACUAAAUGUCGUC
Molecule: long non-coding RNA, 1174 nt
Organism: Eutrema salsugineum
Lineage: Eukaryota; Viridiplantae; Streptophyta; Magnoliopsida; Brassicales; Brassicaceae
Exons: 3
Source: RefSeq, a predicted model, not a curated record